This 781-nucleotide long non-coding RNA is filed under the name Fukomys damarensis (Damara mole-rat). RNAcentral describes it as "lncRNA (ENSFDAG00000028230.1)". The record is from RNAcentral. Lineage: Eukaryota; Metazoa; Chordata; Mammalia; Rodentia; Bathyergidae.
AUCCUUCCCUUGGACAUCAUAAGCAGCACACUUUUUAUGUGCUUUUAAAGAGAACACCAGUAGCUCAGCGAUCCAAGACAGCAGGGAUACGCUGUGGGUCAGCACUGGUGCGGGGUUUGUACCUGAGCUCCAGGGGUCUGAAGGUGGGCAGGGUUGUUGGGGUCACAAGGAACCACACGGGAACCACAGCCGCACCGGAUAAAUGGUAACUGCCACACCCAGGGCCAGGAGUGAAUGCACAAAGCAAUGAAACCCAGAUUUCACGCCAUCCAUUGCCUACAGAUGGGUUUAAUUGAGAUAAAUUACCUCGGAGAUAUGGCCAGCAUGAGCUUCGCACACCAGAUCCAUCAGGGAUAAACUGCUGUGUGUGAUUUAAUUAUCUUGCAAUCCUUAUUAAGCACUCAAGUGUGUGCAUGUGGCAAGAGUCAGCAGUUUUUAAACUAGAUAUCCUUUAAUGCCCUUUGUCUACAGAGACAAGGAGAACACAACUUCACCUGUAAUCUCAGCACCAGGGAAGCUGAAGCAGGAGGGCCGGGAGUUUGAGGCCAGCCUGGGCUACAGCGAGUUCAAGGUUGGCCCAGCGAGACCCUGUCUCAAUAACAAAAAAUGUCAGUCACUGCUCCUAGAAUAGAAGAUGAGAGCGGUAACCCGAGUCUACUUAGCGAUCAGCAGCACCACCUAGUGGUCAGCAGCUCGGAACAGCGAGCAGAAAGGAGUCGAAGCGGAGGUUGGAAGGGAUUGAACCCAGCCAGGAUAGCCCUGGAAAAGCAUCCUCGGCCCA